Rhagoletis pomonella (apple maggot) is the source of this 1508-nucleotide long non-coding RNA. RefSeq lists it as uncharacterized. The record is from RefSeq and is a predicted model, not a curated record. NCBI's taxonomy places the organism in Eukaryota, Metazoa, Arthropoda, Insecta, Diptera, Tephritidae. The transcript is spliced from 3 exons.
UACAACUAUUGCAGCGGCAAAUGUAAUUACGGCAGAAGGGUUUAUGGUGCGCCCUAACAGCCCUAGCAGCUUUAGUUCACAUAAUCCCAAGCACAGAGUUAAAUCAUUCAAAGAGAAGGGACUCAAUCUAUUCGAGGGGUCUAUUGUGUAAUCACAGCACCUAUAAAAACCAGCACAUAAUAAAUGAGAAGACUCACAUGCCAGGUGUGCUCGAUGUACGGCAGAAAAAAUUGUGUUACGAUUGGUUUUGGGGGACUACGAUGUGGCAAGUACUACUCGAACAGUAACGGGUUUGGCCACACCUGAGUGGCAGAUCGACCUAUCUCGACAGUAUUGAAAAUAUGUCGAGAUAGGGCGUUUUUGAACCGAAUUAUGAAAUGGGCCGUUAUUGAAAUGUUUUCAGAGGUAGGACGUUUUCGAACUUACUGUUGAGAUAGGCCGAUCUUACACUCAGGUGUCGAUAUGUCCAUGCAUCCAUAUAUAUUUAUUUUUUUAGAUGCAACAAAAUGUUAACUCAAGCGUAAAUUCGACGUUGGGACAUGCACGAAAUGCUUGCACUAUAUCUAGAAAAUCGUCAGCCCGUUGCUCAUAUUUUCGCAGUGUUCUUGAGGAAUUUUAACUUUUCUUCAAAAUGAUUUAUUUUGGAACGAAUUUCCGUCAUCCCUUGUCAAGUUUGGUUUGCAGACAAAAUAUCUACAUAAAAUGGGAUAAUUUGUUUCUAAGACAAACCAUGGAGCAAAGGACAGUCAGUUACUUACUCUGAAUCCUGAACGAAUGAGGCAUAGUCUAGAGACUAACCCGGGUUUUUUUGUAUGAGUAUUAUUUACAGAUUUUUGGUCAAUGAAUUGACAGCACUUGCACCAAUUUGCAAUCUUAAUUCGCUUACCUUGGAUGCAGGACUAAAACAGGAUCACCAACUGUUGUUUAAUGCCGAUGCAACUACAGUCAAAGGUGUUGGUGACAGCUUAACAAUUUUGGGUGUAUGAGAGAGCAAAGCCUGUCGAAGUCACAACCGGACUUUUUCAAGGCUUUCAAAACAUUUCCUCCCAACUAUACCGAUUGCAGAAAAUUCGUACAAGUGCGCGAAGGCACAUAGUCAUCAGCUGAGUAUAUUAUAUUGCAGAUUGAAGCUAAGAAAGAGGACAAUGAUACAAUUGGGUGUAUAUUAUCCGCGUUAGAAGUAAUAAAGAUCAGAAGGAGCUCUUGGAAACUUCAAAAACUAAACUGUGCAAAACAGCUGUUGGCCCAUUCGGUUGUGAUGAAAUAUUUAAUAUCAGUAUUGCCUUGAAAAAGCUAUUUAUUUGUCAAGAGUUAUGUCGUCUGGCGGCUUAAGAAAGUUCAGUACCUAACAUUUAUCUCUUCGGAUGUCUGGAAAUUCGUAUCGUUAAUCUCUAAUUGUGAAUGAUAAAAAGGGUUGGGAAAAAUUUACUAGAAGCUGUGCUCUCGUAUAAACUGAUCCUGGCAUAAAUUAUACAUCUUGUUUUAAUUACUUAUAGGCUGAAACAAAA